RNAcentral lists this ribosomal RNA (458 nucleotides) under uncultured bacterium. RNAcentral's name for it is "partial 16S ribosomal RNA". It matches the Rfam family "Bacterial small subunit ribosomal RNA", at positions 338 to 795 of the family's 1533-position model. The record is from RNAcentral.
CCUACGGGAGGCAGCAGUGAGGAAUAUUGGUCAAUGGGCGAGAGCCUGAACCAGCCAAGUCGCGUGAGGGAGUACUGCCCUAUGGGUUGUAAACCUCUUUUGUCGGGGAGCAAAAGCCGGACGUGUCCGGCUGUGAGCGUACCCGAAGAAAAAACAUCGGCUAACUCCGUGCCCGCCGCCGCGGUAAUACGGAGGAUUCGAGCGUUAUCCGGAUUUAUUUGGUUUAAAGGGUUCGCAGGCGGAAGAUCAAGUCAGCGGUAAAAGUGACGGGCUCAACCUGUUCGAGCCGUUGAAACUGGUUUUCUUGAGUGAGUGAGAAGUAUGCGGAAUGCGUGGGGUAGCGGUGAAAUGCAUAGAUAUCACGCAGAACUCCGAUUGCGAAGGCAGCAUACCGGCGCUCAACUGACGCUCAUGCACGAAAGUGUGGGUAUCGAACAGGAUUAGAUACCCCUGUAGUC